RNAcentral lists this long non-coding RNA (1434 nucleotides) under Anas platyrhynchos platyrhynchos (common mallard). RNAcentral describes it as "lncRNA (ENSAPLG00000021818.1)". Lineage: Eukaryota; Metazoa; Chordata; Aves; Anseriformes; Anatidae. The record is from RNAcentral.
CGUUGGUAGCGCAGGAGGUGGAUAUGGGGUGGAUAUGGGGUGUCCCCAACCUGCUGAAAUGAGACCCCCAGGGUGGGUGGGGAGGGGUCCUCGCCCAGCACCCGGGGCGUCUGGUGGGGGCUCUGCUCACCCGGCACGAGGAGCUGCGCCCUGCGCAAGUGGCAGCGGGGUGGGGGGCAGAGCUCAGAGCUGCGACCCCAAAAAAAAACAAAAAUCCUGCACCCCACGGGGGCUUCUCCCAGCUGGAAACCCCCCCUCGGGACCCUCUCCUGCCAGGCCAGAGGGUGCCCGGCGGCACCGCUCGGUGCGGGGAGCAUGGAUCAGCCCUGGGGCUGCCAUCCCCGCAGCGGCUCCGUCUGUCUGUCCGUCCGUCUGUCCAUCCGUCCGUCCGUCCGUCCCUCCACCUGUCCCCCCCUUUUCCCUCUGCCUGACCCUCCAGGAGGGCUCCGGUGUCGCCGGCUGACAGCCGAUCCCGGCUGCCUCCAAUCCAUUCGUUCCAGGGCAGGAACAAAGGCGCUUUGUGGGGGCUCCCCUCCCGCUCCGUCUCUGGGCCAUGCUGGGGAAGGGUCCCGGCUCCGGAACUGGGACAGACUUCCCCGCACGACAGCCGUGUAAUGCCUUCCAGACCCACCCGCAGGUACGGGUGGGGGACAGGGCACCCCGUGCUGCCCCGGGCACGGCCACCGGCUUGGGGACCUGCUGGGAACCGCUGCCACCAGCAGCAGCCCCAUCCCCGUGUCCCUAUCCCAGUGUCCCUAUCCCAGUGUCCCCAUCCCAGUGUCCCCAUCCCCAUAUCCCCAUCCCCGUGUCCCCAUCCCAGUGUCCCCAUCCCCGUGUCCCCAUCCCAGUGUCCCCAUCCCAGUGUCCCCAUCCCCUGUCCCCAUCUCCUCUGUCCACCCAUGGGGUCUCCAAGGACCCACGGAUUCACCCGCUGAGGUGUCCCCCUGUUCACAAGCAGGGGCAGCGUCCCCUUGGUGAGACCCCGGCCCUCGCUGCCCUGCACUGCCCAGUUUGGGCCCUAAAUUGGGGAAAAGGGGCACGGGAACAGGCAGAGGGGUCGGUCCUGGGCACCCCCUGCUGCAGGGGGGGCUCACGGGGUGCUCGGGGUGUGUGGGAUGGGAUGGGAUGGGAUGGGAUGGGAUGGGAUGGGGAUGGGGAUGGGAUGGGAUGGGAUGGGAUGGGGAGGUUUGGGGUGGGACGGGGCAGGUUGGGGAUGGGAUGGGGAGGUUUGGGGUGGGAUGGGGCAGGUUGGGGAUGGGAUGGGAAGGUUUGGGGAUGGGAUGGGGAGGUUUGGGGUGGGAUGGGGAGGUUUGGGAUGGGAUGGGGCAGGUUGGCUGCUGCUCCUCCAUCCCUCAGCAGGACCAGGCACAGCAGCAUCCUGGCAGCCACAUGCUCGGCGCGGCCGCGGGGUCUGGAAUCCAUUUGCCUCGCCGG